Molecule: non-coding RNA, 62 nt
Filed under: unclassified sequences
Source: RNAcentral
CCUCUAAUGCAGCCUCACACAGCGUGAGCCGGUCCCAAGCCCGGAAAAAUGCAGAGGGGAGG